AUUGAACGCUGGCGGCAUGCUUUACACAUGCAAGUCGAACGGCAGCGGGGUAGUGCUUGCACUACUGCCGGCGAGUGGCGCACGGGUGAGUAAUAUAUCGGAACGUACCGAGUAAUGGGGGAUAACCAAUCGAAAGAUUGGCUAAUACCGCAUACGUCCUGAGGGAGAAAGCGGGGGAUCGCAAGACCUCGCGUUAUUCGAGCGGCCGAUAACUGAUUAGCUAGUUGGUGGGGUAAAGGCCUACCAAGGCGACGAUCAGUAGCGGGUCUGAGAGGACGAUCCGCCACACUGGGACUGAGACACGGCCCAGACUCCUACGGGAGGCAGCAGUGGGGAAUUUUGGACAAUGGGGGCAACCCUGAUCCAGCCAUGCCGCGUGUAUGAAGAAGGCCUUCGGGUUGUAAAGUACUUUUGUUAGGGAAGAAAAGGGAAGUGCUAAUACCACUUUUUGCUGACGGUGCCUAAAGAAUAAGCACCGGCUAACUACGUG
This 490-nucleotide ribosomal RNA is filed under the name uncultured bacterium. Its description in RNAcentral is "partial 16S ribosomal RNA". It matches the Rfam family "Bacterial small subunit ribosomal RNA", at positions 30 to 507 of the family's 1533-position model. The record is from RNAcentral.